Molecule: ribosomal RNA, 253 nt
Filed under: uncultured bacterium
Lineage: Bacteria
Description: partial 16S ribosomal RNA
Rfam family: Bacterial small subunit ribosomal RNA
Source: RNAcentral
UACGUAGGCAGCGAGCGUUGUUCGGAAUUACUGGGCGUAAAGCGUGCGCAGGCGGUUUUGCAAGCCGGAUGUGAAAGCCCCGGGCUCAACCUGGGAAUGGCAUUUGGGACUGCAAGGCUUGAGUGCGGCAGAGGAGACUGGAAUUCCUGGUGUAGCAGUGAAAUGCGUAGAUAUCAGGAGGAAUACCGAUGGCGAAGGCAGGUCUCUGGGCUGACACUGACGCUCAUGCACGAAAGCGUGGGGAGCAAACAGG